AACCACCUCAUCACCGGGAGACAUACCUCUAUUUAGCUCCUGAUUUUGGAAAGCAGAAUGUGCCACCCUCUGUGGAGAAGAAAGAGCCCUCCUGCAACUUGCUCAGGCCGCGGAGCUCAGAGCCAUUUAGACAAUGAGACGAAGAACAGAUAAAACAAGCGCUCCACCUAAGGUAGCACCGUACAAUGGGAGCAGCGUGGACAUCAGAGGCAGAACUUGAGAAUUCCGUGCACACUGACUGCAAGUCUGAAGAAGGGGAGUUAACGGGAGGAAAGGAAAGUGACUUCCUUUAUUGUUCCUUGUCACAAAUCUGAGAAUCUGAUUGAAGCGGAAGGGAAAUAGAAGCUGAAGGAUCUGCCAUCUAGAGACUCCAGGCUUCUCUGAGCAAAUAUUCCAUAGUAGGGGACCUCUGGCUUCUUGGCAUAGAUACGGCAACUUGAACUUGGCCCCCAUAAGGGUGCAUAUGCUGUUCCAAGUCAGGAUUGCACACAGCAACUGACCAUACUGUGCACGGGGCAAAUAUUUAUGGGACAAUAAAUGUGAGCGAAGCAUGUUUGUGUUCUGUGCCUAACUGGCGAUGGAACACGCAGAUCGACUGAUUUCCUCCAUCCCCGUAGGAGGAGCUGUGGCCCGUGUCCUCUCGGAUCUGCCUUAGAGUGCUGGCCCUUCAAGCCUAGGACAAGAGAUGGGGCUGGGGCAAGGGGAUGCCCUCAACUGAUUUAGGACUCAGGCUUUGGGAAGAGCACAGGGCCCGGCGGUGCUGCUGUGUGUGACCCAGGUGGACCAUGACUUCAGAUUCCCCCUGUAUAAGCGGAGUAUCUUUGCUACUUGGGAUAGGGAUUAUCCUGUGAAUCAAGCUUUUCGUAGACCUCUGCAAGAACAAAGAAGAAAGUGAACAUGAUAUGACCAAUGCUUUCGGCAAAUAGAAGCAGGGGAAAUCGCUCCGGGACAAUAAACUUCUCUGUUUGGGACGUCAAUCUCACUGGGAAUUUUCAGACAAAUCAUUCAGAAAAUACACUCAAUCACGCAACAGUAGUAGAUACCAUGUGAUCAUUCCAACAUGACCGCAACGCACUGAAUAGUUAUUGCUUCUUUAUUUUUAAAUAGCCCAUAGGCAGAACAACAACAACAAAAAAAAACAACUCAAGAAACAAAUUCCAAAGGUUAGAUUUUAGAAAUCCUGCUGUUAGUAACUGUCACACAAGUGUCUUAGCAGAGGGGCAGAUAACUGUAGUCAAAGAAAUAUUAGUAUCCAAGGAUAAUUUGCGCACUUGUCAGUAUAAAUUUUUAAAUGAAACAGAAAGCCGGGGCUGCGUUUCUUUUCGUUAAAGCAACCUCCUGUGCUUCCCCGGCCUGCUCGCUAUUGUUAUGUGGCGGGUAGAUUUCACAUUCCUUCUGCAUUAUUGUAACAGACAAGUCUAAGACACUGUCUAAUGUUAAUUCUACACACUGCUGCCAAUUAUAAUCAGAGCUAGUCAAAAUAAACAAAUUAAACAAAUAAACAUGUCAAAACAUCUCUGAUUUAGGGAAAAUAAGCCAAGUCUGAACUCUUGCAGUGUUUCGGCAUAAAUGAUGGGCUGUGGGUUGUAAAACGCUCCAUAACAUUUUUUCACCUUUGCUAGGGGGAAGGUGGGUCAGUUUAGAAUUACGGCCCAGCUCAACUUUGAGAAAGGGGUCUGCGACGGAGACCAAAUCAAACCCAAAUGUUGCUGGCUUCACCUCGGGCAGUAAUGAUCUGCUGCAUGCUCUAAAUGCCUUACAAAGAAAGAAGGAAAGAAAGAAAAAAGCAGUUGAUUCUUUGCUGACGUGAUGCCAGAACCCCUAAAUCACUGGAGAGGUUGAUGGCAACGCAGGUGAGCGUAGACCCCAGGCGGAUGCACAUUUCCAUCUGAAACAAACUGUCACCGUGACAUUUCCCAAUCAGCACGUUGAAAAUACCCGGCAAUUAAGUUAGAAAGCUCUGUUGGCUUCAAGAGGGAGUAUGAGACAUGACUUUGCUACUCAAGUAGAAAAUCUUGGC
Molecule: long non-coding RNA, 2020 nt
Organism: Marmota monax (woodchuck)
Lineage: Eukaryota; Metazoa; Chordata; Mammalia; Rodentia; Sciuridae
Exons: 3
Source: RefSeq, a predicted model, not a curated record